UUUUUUUAUAAUUUUAUACCAAAAAAUGAUAUGUUUUCUACCAUUUCUAAGUUCAAAAGUACUUAAGCUUAUUUAUGAUAUAUUUCAAAUCUAAUUUUGGAGCACAUUAAGCCUAAAAUCUUUCUUCGAAAGGAUCGAUUUUUUUAAUAAUCUUUAAAUAAAAUAAAUUCUGACAAAAAUUCAUAAAUAUGCGUUACUAUGAUUAAUAGCUUUCAACCUUUGAUAUUAAUAUCCAUAUCAAACCAUACAAAUAUCUUUAGAAUGUCACACAGAGACAUCUUUCAGGAGUUUUGCAAAUAUUUAUGACAAAAAUAGAGAGCACCAAAUCACAAUAAUGUUCCAGUAGCCAAAACACAAAUCAAAAGAACUUU
RNAcentral lists this long non-coding RNA (371 nucleotides) under Physcomitrium patens. RNAcentral describes it as "long non-coding RNA (PPAT_LNC002115)". Lineage: Eukaryota; Viridiplantae; Streptophyta; Bryopsida; Funariales; Funariaceae. The record is from RNAcentral.